GAUGAACGCUAGCGGCAGGCUUAACACAUGCAAGUCGAGGGGUAUUUAUCUUCGGAUAGAGAGACCGGCGCACGGGUGCGUAACGCGUAUGCAAUCUACCUUUUACAGAGGGAUAGCCCAGAGAAAUUUGGAUUAAUACCUCAUAGUAUAUAGACUCGGCAUCGAGAUUAUAUUAAAGUCACAACGGUAAAAGAUGAGCAUGCGUCCCAUUAGCUAGUUGGUAAGGUAACGGCUUACCAAGGCUACGAUGGGUAGGGGUCCUGAGAGGGAGAUCCCCCACACUGGUACUGAGACACGGACCAGACUCCUACGGGAGGCAGCAGUGAGGAAUAUUGGACAAUGGGCGCAAGCCUGAUCCAGCCAUGCCGCGUGCAGGAUGACGGUCCUAUGGAUUGUAAACUGCUUUUAUACGAGAAGAAACACUGCUACGUGUAGCAGCUUGACGGUAUCGUAAGAAUAAGAAUCGGCUAACUCCGUG
RNAcentral lists this ribosomal RNA (478 nucleotides) under uncultured bacterium. RNAcentral's name for it is "partial 16S ribosomal RNA". It matches the Rfam family "Bacterial small subunit ribosomal RNA", at positions 28 to 507 of the family's 1533-position model. The record is from RNAcentral.